Amphimedon queenslandica is the source of this 445-nucleotide long non-coding RNA. RefSeq lists it as uncharacterized. NCBI's taxonomy places the organism in Eukaryota, Metazoa, Porifera, Demospongiae, Haplosclerida, Niphatidae. The transcript is spliced from 3 exons. The record is from RefSeq and is a predicted model, not a curated record.
GGCUCUGCUAAUGCAGCACUAGUGUUAUCUGGUUUGAGUAUAUCCUUUAAUAUCAUAUUGAUAUUAAUAUUGAUUGCUGUUAUUUCCUAUCAUUGCAAGAAAUCAGUGAUUAAUAAUAACAUACCACCACCAGUACCAGCUGCUACUACUCAGGCUAAUAAUAUGAUGUAUGAUAGGAAUGUGAGCUAUGAACUACACACAGUAACAAAUGAGACUGAGGAGUAUGAUUAUAUUUGAUUCAUUGCUCAAGUUAAUACUUACAGCUGCCAAUCAGAUAUUAUUAGCUAAUGGCUACUUAAUUUGAUCUUUUACUUUUUAUAAUGCACCUUCUUUUGUUUCCUUUUACUGUACAUAGACGGUCAUUAAUAAUGUACUUCAUUGACAGAUGUAAGAUUGUAUAAGCUAGCUAAUUACACUGAUGUAGUUUACCGGUAUUUUCACUUGA